RNAcentral lists this ribosomal RNA (252 nucleotides) under uncultured bacterium. Its description in RNAcentral is "partial 16S ribosomal RNA". It matches the Rfam family "Bacterial small subunit ribosomal RNA", at positions 525 to 776 of the family's 1533-position model. The record is from RNAcentral.
ACAGAGGGUGCAAACGUUGUUCGGAAUCACUGGGCAUAAAGCGCACGUAGGCGGUCUGUUAAGUCAGAUGUGAAAGCCCCCGGCUCAACCGGGGAACUGCAUUUGAUACUGGCAGGCUCGAGAACGGUAGGGGUGAGUGGAACUCCAGGUGGAGCGGUGAAAUGCGUAGAUAUCUGGAGGAACACCGGUGGCGAAAGCGGCUCACUGGACCGUCACUGACGCUGAGGUGCGAAAGCUAGGGUAGCAAACGGG